This 1490-nucleotide long non-coding RNA is filed under the name Mus musculus (house mouse). RNAcentral's name for it is "long non-coding RNA chr6:30438667-30440157". The record is from RNAcentral. Lineage: Eukaryota; Metazoa; Chordata; Mammalia; Rodentia; Muridae.
UGAGCCCAGGCAGGCCCUGAGAUGAUGGGUCUCCUACCUCAGCCUCCUGAGGACUUUUGAUUCCAGGCUUGUGCCACAGGUCUAGCUGGUGACGGAACUGAAACCUCAGGCUGUAGCUCAGUGAUAGAAUGCUUGCUAACUAUGCAUAAGGCAAGCUGGAUUCUUGCUAUCAUAAAGAAAAAUAUUUAAAAUCUAUAACUUGCUUCCUUCCUAUUUGACAAACUUUGUCCUUUUCAGGGAGGGUUGUGGGGAAGGGUCCUGGAGUCCUAUCCAGAAAAUGCUGUCUUUACCCAUAUCAUGGAGUAUUUCAGAGGUCAGGUCUUACCUACAGUUUUUUUAAUUUUUGAUCAUUUUGAGUUUAAAUUUUUUUCAUAAUAGCUUUUCUUAGUAAUAGCCUUAAACAGAAUAUAAGAUGUCCUUUGGGAUAAAUGCAGGAUUUUCUUUGAAAAGUUUUGGAAUGGUAUUCAAAGUUUAAUUUUGCUCUGAGCACACAAGAGCCAGUUUUCUUUUUAAGCGUAUAAUUACAUGUAUGUGUUUAUUUAGACAUGACUCACACAUGUUUGUGAUUGCUCUCUCCAACAGUCACAGUUUAAUCUAGCUUGCCUCUGCUCUCACCUAAAGAGGAAGAGAUCUGAUCUCUGACCUUAGCGUCUGAAGCACUAGGCCUCUCUUGCUUCUCUUGAAUUCCAUAUCGUCAGUCAUUUUCUUGAGUUUAUCAUGCUGUGUCACCUCUCCUGGGAAGAAUCUUUUAGUCUUUGAAAUUUAAAAAUCGUAGGAAAUAAAAAUGGAGACUAACUCCCUAAAAUCCUAAGUAGUCUGUGUAAGUGCAUACAAUAAGCGAGGUAAAUGACAUACAUGUGUAUUAGGAAUCACCCCCCCCCCCCCACUCCCUUUGGAAGUUCAGAUGGUUGUUACUAAUUCUGUUUAUGCUCCUCAUCUGAAGCCAUUUUUGGAAAACCAUCCUCUUCUUCUUUAGGCCACAGACCUCCCCCAGCCCGCAGUGGACACCGUUGUGUGGCAGACAAUACCAAUCUCUAUGUGUUUGGAGGGUAUAACCCAGACUAUGAUGAAUCGGGAGGGCCGGAUAACGAAGACUACCCUCUCUUCAGGGAGCUUUGGCGGUAUCAUUUUGCAACAGGCGUGUGGCACCAGAUGGGUACAGAUGGCUACAUGCCCCGGGAAUUGGCAUCAAUGUCACGUAAGUACCAGCAGUUUUGAAGUUUUGACUUUGUGAACUAUCUGAAAUGGCAGGUUUGGUGUCACUUGUUCCCUUCUUAAUAACGUACACUGUUGCAACAUGAUGAAGUGUAGUCACGGAACAGGUAUUUCACUGUGGUGAUAAUACAGUGUAAUGACUCUGAAUCGCUGCGUUCCUGGGUUUGAGCCUAACUGUAUAAUUUUGGAUUGCCAGAUGAGUUUUUAACUAUUUACCUGUAAAGUGAGACUAACACCAUCUCAGGUUCAAUAUAAAGUAUUACAUAUAUCCUAGG